CUGAGCCCUGGACAAGUGAUUAUGAGGAGGAAGCAAUAGAUAACGAUAGUUCUAUUAACUCUAGUGAAUGGCCAGACCGUUUUGAGAGUCCUCCGACGUGGCAGGACGACGUUACAGACGACUGGGAAGAAAGCCAGCAAUGGCCACGUGCUUCCAGAUCAACAGAGAAUUCCCUUGAACUGGCCAGCAACCUUCUAGAGGAACCAAGAGAUAU
Molecule: long non-coding RNA, 214 nt
Organism: Ficedula albicollis (Collared flycatcher)
Lineage: Eukaryota; Metazoa; Chordata; Aves; Passeriformes; Muscicapidae
Exons: 3
Source: RefSeq, a predicted model, not a curated record